UCAAUGGUGGGCUGGGUGAGGGCACCGUAAGGUGCGCCGGUAUCCGAUGAGGCCGGUAAGGUCAACUUUGCUCAGUCCACCACCCA
RNAcentral lists this non-coding RNA (86 nucleotides) under Leminorella richardii. The record is from RNAcentral. Lineage: Bacteria; Pseudomonadati; Pseudomonadota; Gammaproteobacteria; Enterobacterales; Budviciaceae.